Molecule: unclassified non-coding RNA, 391 nt
Filed under: soil metagenome
Description: partial contains 5.8S ribosomal RNA, internal transcribed spacer 2, and large subunit ribosomal RNA
Rfam family: 5.8S ribosomal RNA (bases 1-122)
Source: RNAcentral
GAUGAAGAACGCAGCGAAAUGCGAUACUUGGUGUGAAUUGCAGAAUCCCGUGAACCAUCGAGUCUUUGAACGCAAGUUGCGCCCGAAGCCAUUAGGCCGAGGGCACGCCUGCCUGGGCGUCACACGUCGUUGCCCCCCCAUCUACUCCUUCGGGAUUGCGGGGGGCGGAUGAUGGCCUCCCGUGCGCCUCGUCGCGCGGUUGGCAUAAAUGCUAAGUCCUCGGCGACGCACGCCACGACAAUCGGUGGUUGCGAAACCUCGGUUGCCCGUCGUGUGCGGUCGUCGCGCAUCGAGGGCUCGAAAAAAUUGCCGGGCUCCGGCUCGGCUUUCAACGCGACCCCAGGUCAGGCGGGGUUACCCGCUGAAUUUAAGAAUAUCAAUAAGCGGAGGA